Long non-coding RNA from Suricata suricatta (meerkat), 549 nucleotides. RefSeq lists it as uncharacterized. The record is from RefSeq and is a predicted model, not a curated record. NCBI's taxonomy places the organism in Eukaryota, Metazoa, Chordata, Mammalia, Carnivora, Herpestidae. The transcript is spliced from 3 exons.
UCCAUCACACUGGUCCUUGAUUUAUUUAGGCAGUGAUGUUUCCUCCCCUUUAAAAAUAGAAUAAGGGGGUAAAAACAGAGCUGGGAUAUAAAAUCUGACUUGGGCAAAAAAAUUAUUAUUUGCUCUCUGGCUCUCCUCGGUUAAGAAGAUUCCAUGAUGGAUAUCUGUAAUUGUGGGCAGUUAUCAGUACCAGAUGGAAACGCUUUUCAAAACCCCUUCUGCAAUUCAGACCAAAUUUUCUUCUUUCUUUUGCAGAUUCCUGUAAAAGAAGCCUGGUUCAGAAGCCCUGCUUGUGAAGGGAGGCAAGACACGCAGGUAACUAUCCUACUGAACACAAGGGCCACUGCAGAAGCAAUGCCUUUUACCAAAGAGCUUGCACCCCAAGGCAUUUCUAAGGCAAGAUCGGGCUCCACCCUCUUGGUGGAUUAAGAAGAACACACAGAUAGCAUUUCAUAAUGUGAAGAAGCAAGCCCGUGUGCAUUAUCUGACCUGACCUGAGGGACAAUAUGAUACCCUGGGAGGAACCUCCAGUACAAUGUUUAAUAAAAG